This 411-nucleotide ribosomal RNA is filed under the name Triticum aestivum (bread wheat). RNAcentral describes it as "partial small subunit ribosomal RNA". The record is from RNAcentral. Lineage: Eukaryota; Viridiplantae; Streptophyta; Magnoliopsida; Poales; Poaceae.
AUGCCCAUUGAUGGCUCCUUGGUCUUGGUGGCGGUGGACUUGGUUCUGCAUUGGGGGGCAUUGGAGCCCUCUGGAGCCUCCUCUUGGUUGCGCAUGCGCUUCGAUCCCGUGUCAGGGCUGGGAUUCGAACGACGGACAUUGGAACCGGAGCCACCACCUAUGACACACAACACAAACAUGAGAAAAAUCGAGAAGGAUUAUUGCAAAGACGAGGGCCAAAACCAAAUGAAACAAGCAAACACGAGAUUUGGAAGGACAAAACAACAUAGUUUGCAAUUCUAUGGUAGUACCGGACCGGCUUACGGAUGUAAAAAAUUGAAGGAAAUAUGCCCUAGAGGCAAUAAUAAAGUUGUUAUUUAUAUUUCCUUAUAUCAUGAUAAAUAUUUAUUAUUCAUGCUAGAAUUGUAUUAA